AUGCCAUCACUGUUGCCGCUCAUAAAACCCAAGGUCCAAUCAGACAGAAAGGAGCGUUUCCCUGGUCCCAGCAGUGCUUCUCAUUUCUUACCCAAGAAUGAGGGUGCAAUUCAGGCUGCAGCACAACAGCUAGAAAGAGCGGCGUCAGUGGUUCGUCAACUCACCACAAGGGACGAUAGCCAUAAAGCGCAGCAGUCCGAAAGGCCAAUGCCAGCAGUUCAUCACCACUCCUUUGAUCACCUCUUCUCUACUCGUCCAGACCCUUGCUCUGUCAGUAGAGCCUCAUUACAGUCACAUUUAGGCUAUGCGGACGACAGGGCAGGUAUGAGUGAUAUUGCGAGGUACUUGGUAAGUCGAGAGCUGGUGGAUUCUGGCCUGAUCAAAUUUAAUGAUCAUCCAGAAAAUUACUGGGCGUGGAAAUCUUCAUUCUGCAAUGCUAUUGGAGGACUGAACUUAAGUGCUGGCGAAGAGCUUGACCUCUUAACAAAAUGGUUAGGAAAUCAGUCUUCAGAGCACGUCAUACGGAUUCGUUCUGUACAUGUUGCCAGGCCUGAUAUAGGUUUAAGAAUGGCUUGGGAUUGCCUAGAGGAGUGCUAUGGCUCCCCCGAGGUAAUUGAAAGAGCUCUCUUUGGGAGGAUAGAGAACUUUCCUAAAAUCAGUCAUAAGGACCCCGUAAAGCUCAAGGAGCUGGGAGACCUGCUAAGGGAGUUAGUGUCUGCGAAAUCUGAGGGUUACCUGCCAGGGCUCUCAAACUUGGACACCGCAAGGGGUGUCAAACCUAUCGUUGAGAAGUUGCCAAUUGGUCUGCAAGAGAGGUGGUUAACUCAAUGCUCACAAUACAAGGAGCAACACAAUAUAUGUUUUCCUCCAUUUGCAUACUUUACAGAGUUCAUACGCAGUGAAGCACGCCGAAGAAAAGACCCAAGUUUCACUCUCUUGACAGCCCCUGUAACCCCGUUGAAUAAUUCCCACAGGUAUACUACAGGACCAUCAAAGUUUGAUCGAGUGGAAAAGAGAUCAGCAUAUGGCAAAAGCUAUGUUUCUGCUCACAAGGCUGGAAUUGCAUCGCUACAAACAGCUUCUCAGGUGGACAGUUCAAGCAGCAGGCGAGGAGAAAUAGACAAACAAUGCCCAAUCCACAAGAAGCCACAUCCUCUGAAAAAGUGUAGAGGUUUUCGAAGUAAGUCACUAGAGGAACGCAAAGCUUUUCUUAAAGAAAAUGGCAUCUGUUUCAGAUGUUGCUCUUCUACCAUUCACCAGGCAAAGAACUGUGAAAGUAGCUUUGAAGUGCACAGAAUGUGA
This is a long non-coding RNA of Cyprinus carpio carpio, 1302 nucleotides long. NCBI's taxonomy places the organism in Eukaryota, Metazoa, Chordata, Actinopteri, Cypriniformes, Cyprinidae. The record is from Ensembl.